UGGCGGACGGGUGAGUAACGCGUGGGCAACCUGCCCCAUACAGGGGGAUAACAGUUAGAAAUGACUGCUAAUACCGCAUAAGCGCACGGCAACGCAUGUUGCUGUGUGAAAAACUCCGGUGGUAUGGGAUGGACCCGCGUCUGAUUAGCCAGUUGGCAGGGUAACGGCCUACCAAAGCGACGAUCAGUAGCCGGCCUGAGAGGGUGGACGGCCACAUUGGGACUGAGACACGGCCCAAACUCCUACGGAAGGCAGCAG
RNAcentral lists this ribosomal RNA (258 nucleotides) under uncultured bacterium. Its description in RNAcentral is "partial 16S ribosomal RNA". It matches the Rfam family "Bacterial small subunit ribosomal RNA", at positions 96 to 354 of the family's 1533-position model. The record is from RNAcentral.